AUGGUUUCCGACCGCGACAGAAUCUUCACCAGCCGGGUUUGGAGGGAGUUGUGCAAGCUGACACACACGACCCUCAACAUCUCAUCGGCCCGGCACCCGCAGACUGAUGGUACAAUGGAGCGUGUCAACCAAUGUAUGGAGAUUUAUCUCUGCUGUUUCUCCCAUAACUGCCCCAGCAAAUGGAUGGAUUGGCUCUCCCUCGCGGAAUUCUGGUACAACACUUCUUAUCAUUCCACCCUCAAGUCCACACCCUUUGAAGUGCUCUAUGGCCACAAACCUCGCUUCUUCGGCAUCUCUAAUGUGGCCGACGCCGCAGUCACUGAUUUGGCACAGUGGACUGAGGAGCGUGCCACCAUGGUGGCUCUGCUGCGCCAACACCUCAACAGAGCCAGACAGGACAUGAAAGUGAAAGCCGAUCGCAAGCGAUCCGACCGAGUGUUCGCUGUGGGAGAUUGGGUGUUCCUCAAGUUGCAACCAUAUGCGCAGUCGUCUGUGGCGGCGCGGGCUAACCACAAACUUGCCUUCCGCUUCUUUGGACCGUUUCAGGUGCUGCAACGAGUGGGCGAAGUGGCGUACAAACUUGCACUCCCAGAGCAUUCUAGGAUCCAUCCGGUCAUCCAUGUCUCGCAACUGCGUGCAUGCCUUCCACCGGCUACAAGUGCUAUGUCAGAGCUUCCAGUACUCGACGAGGACCUCCUUCCAUUACAAGUACCUGCACUACAAGAAAUAUGUUAA
RNAcentral lists this ribosomal RNA (735 nucleotides) under Triticum aestivum (bread wheat). Its description in RNAcentral is "partial small subunit ribosomal RNA". Lineage: Eukaryota; Viridiplantae; Streptophyta; Magnoliopsida; Poales; Poaceae. The record is from RNAcentral.